GGCGGCGUGCUUAACACAUGCAAGUCGAACGGAAAGGCCCUGCUUUUGUGGGGUGCUCGAGUGGCGAACGGGUGAGUAACACGUGAGUAACCUGCCCUUGACUUUGGGAUAACUUCAGGAAACUGGGGCUAAUACCGGAUAGGAGCUCCUGCUGCAUGGUGGGGGUUGGAAAGUUUCGGCGGUUGGGGAUGGACUCGCGGCUUAUCAGCUUGUUGGUGGGGUAGUGGCUUACCAAGGCUUUGACGGGUAGCCGGCCUGAGAGGGUGACCGGCCACAUUGGGACUGAGAUACGGCCCAGACUCCUACGGGAGGCAGCAGUGGGGAAUAUUGCACAAUGGGCGGAAGCCUGACGCAGCAACGCCGCGUGCGGGAUGACGGCCUUCGGGUUGUAAACCGCUUUCGCCUGUGACGAAGCGUGAGUGACGGUAAUGGGUAAAGAAGCACCGGCUAACUACGUGCCAGCAGCCGCGGUGAUACGUAGGGUGCGAGCGUUGUCCGGAUUUAUUGGGCGUAAAGGGCUCGUAGGUGGUUGAUCGCGUCGGAAGUGUAAUCUUGGGGCUUAACCCUGAGCGUGCUUUCGAUACGGGUUGACUUGAGGAAGGUAGGGGAGAAUGGAAUUCCUGGUGGAGCGGUGGAAUGCGCAGAUAUCAGGAGGAACACCAGUGGCGAAGGCGGUUCUCUGGGCCUUUCCUGACGCUGAGGAGCGAAAGCGUGGGGAGCGAACAGGCUUAGAUACCCUGGUAGUCCACGCUGUAAACGGUGGGUACUAGGUGUGGGGUCCAUUCCACGGGUUCCGUGCCGUAGCUAACGCUUUAAGUACCCCGCCUGGGGAGUACGGCCGCAAGGCUAAAACUCAAAGGAAUUGACGGGGCCCCGCACAAGCGGCGGAGCAUGCGGAUUAAUUCGAUGCAACGCGUAGAACCUUACCUGGGUUUGACAUGGAUCGGGAGUGCUCAGAGAUGGGUGUGCCUCUUUUGGGGUCGGUUCACAGGUGGUGCAUGGCUGUCGUCAGCUCGUGUCGUGAGAUGUUGGGUUAAGUCCCGCAACGAGCGCAACCCUUGUUCACUGUUGCCAGCACGUUAUGGUGGGGACUCAGUGGAGACCGCCGGGGUCAACUCGGAGGAAGGUGGGGAUGACGUCAAGUCAUCAUGCCCCUUAUGUCCAGGGCUUCACGCAUGCUACAAUGGCUGGUACAGAGAGUGGCGAGCCUGUGAGGGUGAGCGAAUCUCGGAAAGCCGGUCUCAGUUCGGAUUGGGGUCUGCAACUCGACCUCAUGAAGUCGGAGUCGCUAGUAAUCGCAGAUCAGCAACGCUGCGGUGAAUACGUUCCCGGGGCUUGUACACACCGCCCGUCAAGUCAUGAAAGUUGGUAACACCCGAAGCCGGUGGCCUAACCGUUGUGGGGGAGCCGUCGAAGGUGGGACUGGUGAUUAGGACUAAGUC
This 1442-nucleotide ribosomal RNA is filed under the name uncultured organism. RNAcentral's name for it is "16S ribosomal RNA". It matches the Rfam family "Bacterial small subunit ribosomal RNA". The record is from RNAcentral.